GUGCCAGGCUCUGUACUAGGCACUGGGAGACACAAUGGUGAAUGGAAUAGGCAGAGAACUCUGUCCUUGAGGAGCUCAUGUUCUAAAGAGGAUGCUGGGACUUCCCUGGCGGUCCAGUGGUUAAGACUCCGCACUUCCAAGGCAGGGGGCGCGGGUUCGAUCCCUGGUUGGGGAACUAAAAUCCCACAUGCUGCGCAGUGUGACCAAAAAAAAGAAAACAAUUUUAAAAAUAUAGAGAGGAUGCUAGUCACCAACGCAGUCAUCCUGCAAACAAAGUGCAGAACUGCAGCUGGAGAAGGCGCAGGGGGAUGAGGCUCUGGGUGCCAUGGGCACCUGUAGCAAGUGGCUGGACCUCUGGGGGGGUGGGAGUGUCUCCUGGUGGAGGUGUGACCCUGCAGUGGUUCAUUGGGCAACACAAAGUUUGCAUGUCCUCGGGAGGCUCAGCGAGGACAGCCGCGGGAGUGAGUGGGACACACGUUAUACAAGAGGAAACCCUGGGGCGCUGACCCUGCCCUCCCAUCCCGGAAGGGUCUCUGAGGAAGUGACGCCCUGAACACAGAGCCGGAUCCGUGGCGACCGCGAAGAAUCUUCCCUUCCCGGCAGAGGCACCAGCCAUGCAAAGGCAGGAAGGCUGCCACACCACACCCCUAGGAAGCUGGAGGCUUUGCACGGGAUGCCCCGCUCUGGCCUGGCUUUCUCCUUUUGUGGAAAGGGAACAGUCGCCCGCCCACCCCCACAAGCGGGGAUGCUGUUCCUGGUGGUGGGUCAGGCCUCCGUGGACCCCCUCGAGUCCUGGAAGAUGAUCGUGUCUGCGGGCUUGGGGAGACGGAGAAGAGAGUGUAGACUGAACAGCUCUCCAACUCCAGACUUUGAGGCAGGAUCCUGAGGUACUUAGAAGGAAAUGACAAGCAGCCUCAUUUACAAUGGAAGGAAACUGAGGUACAACAACAAAAUAAUAAAAUCUAAUGCUUACUGAGCUCUUACUCCAAGCCAGGCACAGUGCUAAGCCCUUUGACCCAAGUUCUUUCAUUUAAUCCCCCCAACGAUCAUCACUGUCGGAAGCUAAUACCGUGACCCCUAUUUUACAAGUGUGGGAAUGAAGACUCGGGAGGUAAGUCAAGACCAUGCCUCCUGUUAAUGGGGGAUCUGGGAUGAGCAUGCAGAUCUGGCUUCAGAACCCAGAAUCAUAAACCCGGCACUUCCUGAGGGGAGGUGGGGGUAGGAGGGAAGGGAUGGGGGCCACCUGGGAGAGACAGACGAUAAGCCCUUGUCUGAGGGCUAAGGGCAGUGGAAUAAAUAAUUGCAAGAGUGAGGGACCCAGGGUCAGUUCCAUGUUCUUCCUACCCUGGAUGGCCCAGGGCAGUUUGGAGAACCCCGAUUCUAGCCCACCCCAGCAACCUAGAAUUUACUCUGCUUCGUUCAUUCAUUUAUUCAUUCAUUCAAUCAUUCAGUCAACAGAAAACAAAAUACAGGAUGACACAGAUCAAAUAUAUCCCUGUAAACAAUAAAUGUAAAUGGGUUGAAUGGUCUAUUAGAAAACAAAGACUCAUAUUAGAUCAAAAAUCAAAAUCUAUUCAUUUAUUCAUGGGCCAAAUAUUUAUUAAAUGCCUAAAAGAUUCAAGGUCCUGUUUUAGAAUCUAAUGAUAGAAUGUAAAAAUAAAAUUUCUGUUAAAGAAGGAAAAACACUGGGGAAAGGAGAUCCAGGGAGAGAGAUCUGAAGGUGCAAAAACUGUGAGGCUGCAAUGAGUUGGAGGAUGGAGGAGCCGAAAAGGGGCCGGUGUGGUUGGAGAAGAGCACUAGUGAGCAAGCGUAGGGGGGUGAGGCAGGCAAGGCCUGCCAGGUCAGGUCCGGAGAGCAGAGGCAGCACCAAGGGGGGCCGAGAUGCAGAGGAGCCGGGUCCUGCUUACCUAGAGCUGUGGGGCAGCGACCGCUCCUCACUAUUCCAGCAACCCCAGCUGGGACUCUUGACCCUUCCCCAACUGAAUGCAGCCAAGAUGACCUCGCCCAGCCUCCUCCCAGGGAAGAAGACUUACCAUGAAUUGAAGGCCUACUGGGUGCAAGGCUCUGCCAUGGGUGGUUUACAUGCUUAAUUAGCUCAUUAAGUCCUGCCAUCAGGUUAGUUUUCUCCCAUUCUGCAGAAGAAAAAAACUAAGCCUCAGAGAGGUAGAGUGACCUGCCUGAAGCCACACAGCCAGACAAUGGCAGGCCUGAAGUUUGAACUUGGGGUAUCCAACACUAUGGAGUGCCUUCCUGGCACUGCAUAGCUGCCUCCCAGGAAAUGGCAGUGGAGAGGUCUCAGCUGGCUGUGUCCUCACGUGUGUCCCCUGACCUCUACGACUUCAAUUCUCCAUCUGGGAACCCGCAUGCCAGGUCAGUGUCGAAACCUGGAUGACUCCCUCCCUCCAGGACGUGGAGUUCCAACGUGCUGAGCUAGCGCUUCUGAUUCCACCCCCACAAUGACUCCAUUUGACGGAGGAGGAAACUGAGGCUCAGAGGGGGAAGUGAUUCUGCAGGGUCACGGCCUUGGGACUCCCGAGGGCCUGGGACUUUCGUGAGUCUGUUCAUUGGAUGCUAAGAAUGAGGACCCCCCCAAGGAUGCAGAGAAUUUGGGAUGGGGUGGAGGGACAGGAACAAGGAUACACAGGCAGUAAGGGAGAGCAGGCCUGGAACCCAGGACACCAGCUCCCAGCCUCUGCCCCUCACUGCAUCCUGGGGAAGGCGGGGGCCUGGCCCCUGGGUCCGGAUUAUUUCCUGAGAACGGGGAGGGGCCACGGGAAGUCUCCCCGCAUCACCCCACUCAGGUCCUGCCCAAACAGGAAAUGCCAGGCAGUCCCCCCACCCACACCCCAGGACCGUGGGAAAGCUUUGCCUGCGAUCCAGUGCUUCCAGCUCUGGCCCAGCCUCACUGGGGAUCUAGACCCUAACAGGGCCUGCGUGACCUUGGACAAGGUCCUUCCCCUCUCAGGGCCUCAGUCUCCCGCUCUGUAGUCACAGAACUCUGCCACCUCCCGGCUGUAUGACCUCAGGCAGGUGUCUGUGCCCUUCUGAAGCCCAGCUCCCUCUUCUGUAAAGUAGGGGACGGUACACACAGAGUGUGCUCCACCCACGGAGCCAUUAUCACCCCAGGCAAGGGUGUGACAGGGGAGGCCUUUGGAAAGAUCCCUAUGGCCCUCUGGGAAAGACGAGGAGCUUCCCUGGACUCAGGACCACACCAGGUGGAUUUUCAUCCCUCUUUGGCAGCUGAGGAAACAGAGCCUCAGAGAGAACUGGUGAGAACCCCGGGAUUCCAAAGCCAGGCCAGGCCCCAGGAGGCCACGAGGCCUGGGAAGUGCUGCCCAGGGCCUUGGGCUGUGGCCCAGACAAGCUGGAAAUCCUCACCUCUGGGGCCACCCCUUGCCCAGACCUGCCCAUAAGGAGCAGUUGAGGGGCGCAGACCCUCACCCUCUGCUCCACAAACCUCUGUCAAACCUGCUGCCUGGGACACGGCUCCUCCACUAGGAUGCCUGAGGAUCAUUCCCUUACCAUUAGAUAAGCAAGAAACUAUCAGUACAAAUUACAUCAAUAAACUCCAUGCUCUAGGAUGUUGAAGCAGAUAUUAUCACGAACCCCAGCUGAAAGCUGAGGACAGAGUGGGGGCGGCGUCACUGCCUGAGGUCACGCAGUGGCAGGAUUGGGACUCAGACUCCCAGAUCUGCGGUCCCAGAAGCUGAGCUCUUGUCAGAGAUGUAGAAUGAGACAGGCUGUGCAGAGAUUCCACUCAGCCCCUCCUUGUGAGGUAAGUGGGGAAACUGAGGCCUGGACAAGCUCAGAGACUGCCCUUAGCCACACAGAGACCCCAAAGCAAGUCUGAGAGGCUGCUUCCCACGAGCUGGGCUGCUCUGGGCCGUGCAGGAAGUGGCCAGGGCUAGGACAGGCCCGCCGCUUUGAUCAGCUUUACGAGCCGUGGCUGUUUAUGGAGGCCCGGGCCCCCACCCCCUGCCACCUGGGACUGGGUCUUGUCACCAGCACUCGGGAUAUUAGGAGUCCCAGGAGAGCCUGCCAGCCGGGGUCUGGGCCCCAUUUCCUCCAGCCUGGCCCUUGCCCUGCCCCUUGGCCUCAGCCCCUGGGAACAGGGCAGGAGGGUCCCCUCAGGACGGAUCCCCUCACGGAGGGGCCUCCUGGCAGUUCCU
Orcinus orca (killer whale) is the source of this 4169-nucleotide long non-coding RNA. RefSeq lists it as uncharacterized. The record is from RefSeq and is a predicted model, not a curated record. Lineage: Eukaryota; Metazoa; Chordata; Mammalia; Artiodactyla; Delphinidae. The transcript is spliced from 3 exons.